GAAGCGCUGUUUUCAAAGGGGUGGCUAGUGCUCACUCGCUUCACAAACUAAAACCAGAGCAAUACAGAGAAGAUGGCACGGCCCUUGUGCAAGAAUGACAUGAAAAUUAACAAAGCAUCCUACAUUUUU
This 129-nucleotide small nuclear RNA is filed under the name Meriones unguiculatus (Mongolian gerbil). The record is from RNAcentral. Lineage: Eukaryota; Metazoa; Chordata; Mammalia; Rodentia; Muridae.